This 324-nucleotide long non-coding RNA is filed under the name Eucalyptus grandis. Its description in RNAcentral is "long non-coding RNA (EGRA_LNC000304)". Lineage: Eukaryota; Viridiplantae; Streptophyta; Magnoliopsida; Myrtales; Myrtaceae. The record is from RNAcentral.
CCACAACGUAACUAUACACGGCCGACAAUCUUGUAAUCCUAACAAAUAAAUAAGAAUUGAUGUCAAAAUCAAAUAAAAUACCACAACAACUACAAACUAGAUGAACUAUGCUUAAAUGCUAGCAAAACAAUUCCCACACAACAAAUGGCAAUCCCAAAGCAAUUAUUCACACUGCUUGAAACGCAGAACUCAUACGCGAAACCCUAAAAUUCUCAAUCUAACCACACCAUUGCUCUAAAUCAAUUCUCAUCAAACCCAAUUGGUUCGUAGCGCCAUAAUUCACCAUUUCCAUAAAAUCCCAAAGUUCAAGACCCCAAAAAUCAA